RNAcentral lists this long non-coding RNA (979 nucleotides) under Homo sapiens (human). Its description in RNAcentral is "HSALNT0341920". Lineage: Eukaryota; Metazoa; Chordata; Mammalia; Primates; Hominidae. The record is from RNAcentral.
GAGAGGGAGACGCUCCAAGAGGCUCCUCAGUGUGGGCGAGUAAAAUGCCCUGCGUGUGAGAAGCAGGCUCAGAUUAUUGCUACUCUGUAUUCAGAUCUUCAUGUGUCUCUUCUAAGCUGAAUAAAGCUGUUUUGGAACUGUCAGGUACCUCAAAGCCGGAAAGGUCAGCCCCCCGCUGCAAGUUCUUAGAUUCCUGGAGGAUCUGCAGAGUCAACAUUAGGAGUAUCCAUCCAUUCACCAAGGCCAUCAGGAAUGUGCUGCCCCAGGAACAAUCAGAAACCAAGAGAUGGGAAUGAAGAGGGUGAGUGAUCUGGAGUCCUGAGAAUGUGCUGUAAAGAAGAGUUGUCAAUUGUGCACAGAAGAUAAGAAAUAUAUGAUGAAUAGAUAAUUGAAAAGAGAUCCUCCAGAAAGAGCAGAAGGAAGUUUCUUCAAUGGCUUCCUUCAGGAUUUUAAUCAUCCUUACAGCCUCUUUGAGAAUGAUUGAACUUCCAAAUUCCCUGAAGUUAAAAUUUUAAAUUCUAUUAAACAUUUUUUCGAGUAUUUCAUUACUUUUACAUUAUGACUUGUACAGUAAUUUGAGAUCAUAAGGGUUGAAAAAUAUCUUCAAAUAAGUUUUUAUAGUUAAAAUUUUUUUGACUUUUCAAAAGUUCUUCUUCCUAGCUCAUUUCAUAAUCUUCAAAUGUAGAUUCUCUUUGAACAUAAAGUGGUAUAAAUAUAGAAUGUUCAGGCACCUGACGUAUAAAUUUACAUACGGUUUGAAGAUUGGAGGGUAUACCCUGUGAUAGUGUCUGACAUUGUUAUUUUCUCGUCAGUGUUACCAGACAGUAAAUAAAUACUUCAAUUCUGCCAGGGGAGGUGGCUCACGCCUGUAAUCCCAGCACUUUGGAGGCCGAGGUGGGCAGAUCAUGUGGUCAGGAGUUUGAAACCAGCCUGGCCAACAUUGUGAAACCCUGUCUCUACUAAAAAUAUAAAAAUUAGC